AUGCUGGUAGUUAGUUUGUUAAACCAUUUUGUAUAUUAUGUUUUGUUUUUUUUUGUUACUGAUAUAAAUUUCCGUAAUGUUUGUUUCAUACUUUUGAAAAUUUUAUAUUGUUUAUAUGGUAUGGGUAACUACAUUGUUGUGCACAAAACUGACACAAACAAAGGAAGUUUCAGAGAUGCACUUCCGAAAUCACCUAUCAGUAUAUUUUGCAUGUGCAUCUCUGAAACUACCUUGAAAAAUUCAAAUCCAACAUUUAUGUUAUAA
This is a non-coding RNA of Vicia faba (fava bean), 264 nucleotides long. Lineage: Eukaryota; Viridiplantae; Streptophyta; Magnoliopsida; Fabales; Fabaceae. The record is from the annotation of a GenBank genome assembly.